This 290-nucleotide long non-coding RNA is filed under the name Physcomitrium patens. Its description in RNAcentral is "long non-coding RNA (PPAT_LNC004868)". The record is from RNAcentral. Lineage: Eukaryota; Viridiplantae; Streptophyta; Bryopsida; Funariales; Funariaceae.
GGGCAUCUUAUAGAUAUAGAAUGAGAUUAAAGACUAAGAGUCAAAAUCAAGAGGAUAAAGUAUGAACUAGGAAAUAUUUGAAGACUUAAUAAGAGUAAUUAGUAUUUGGUAUAGAAUAUCUUUGUAGAUAGUAAGAUACCAAAGAAUCCUAUGACUAUAGAAUACUUUUAAUAGAAGUUAGAUGCCAAAGGAUCUUAAGACCAUGUGUAUAAAAGUCAAAGAGUAGAAGUUGUCUUUUAAGGCAACAACUACUACUUAUAAGUAUUGGGUAUUAAAAGUAAGAGAUAUCU